CCUGACCAGCUCUCAUUCCAGUGUCUGAUGGUGUGAGGUCAGUACUGAUGAUGCUGAAGAACAAAGGUCUCAUAAAGCAAAAGUCUCCAGCAAUAGAAUUUUGCUUCCCUACCAGCUUUGUGUCUCCUUUGGACUUCCAGAGGAUUGGACUAAUCUUUGCUCCCCUGUUUGGCACCAACAGGAAAGUUCCCUGGCAGAAUGCACCUCUCAAUCAAUGUUGGACAGAAGCAUGCCCACCUUUGAAGCUGUAAACAUCCAGGAAGUCCAUCCAGAAGAAACAUAUUUUUUCAGAUGGAGGUUCCAGUUCAGGAAAUAUUAAAACAAAGAACUCAAAGGGACUUCAUAAAAUGCUUACAGGAAAUUCACUUGCCAGAAGUAUCCAUAGAGAGGGAGUGGAAAAUGAAUGUGAAUGCAACCACAGCAAAUCCUGGUGUAUGUGAGGGGACAGUGAGCAAGCAGCUGCGUGGUACUUUGUUGGUGUUAAACCACCACAAGCCCCAGAUUCCUUCAGCUGAAGUUGUUGCCUAGAGCUGCCCUGUUGCUGGAUGUGCCAGCUGUGGGUGAUGGAGCAGCCCCUCUCAGCUUGGUGCUGCUUGAAACUGGAGGGAAGGCAGGGAAAUAGGAUACUGCUUGGCCAAAGACAAUGCUGCUGAGAGCACAGAGCUAUCUUUAUCCCAGUUAUACCUUAGGGGCAGCUAAGGGGUUCCCAAAACCAGAGUGCAGCCAGAUUCACCAUCAAGGUCCAUUUGCUCAGCAGCAGCUCUGUGUGGCACCCAGGCACUCUUAAAUCACUCUGACACUGCCCAGAGGUCUAUACAAAUUGCUCUGCUGUUUAGCAUAUGUGCUCUUACAGCCAAACAGUCCCAAAUAAUUUUUGAGAGGGGCAUUAUGAAGCCAUGAAAAGCCACUUGGUUGACUGCACAAAUCCACAAAUAAAAGCUCCCAGCAAUGUAUCUCCUUUACAGUUGUAUAAAGCCUGCUGAUAUCAGCCAUUUCAAAUGGGUGUGGGAUGAGAAGCAUCAUUGCUCUUUCACAAAUGGACACUAAGGUCACUCAAAAUCAAUAGCAAGUAAGAAGUGAAAAGCAACUCUUAGAGAAAAUAAGGCUGAAACUGCUCCAGAAUUUGAGGUUUGACCAACCACUUCAGUGCAGCUUGCACAGCUGCAGAAGCAAUUGUAAAAACACCUGGGGUUUGUGCUCUCUUGUGUUUACAGAGCCCCUGCCCUCAUGUAUCUCAAAGACAAAGCCACAGAGUUACACAGGAGAAAGAAGUAACUUCUCCAGAAAGGGGCUCUGGAAUCCAAAGUUCUUAUUGGAACGCCAGAAGCAGUUUUCUUUGUAUUUGCCAACUCG
Molecule: long non-coding RNA, 1353 nt
Organism: Zonotrichia leucophrys gambelii
Lineage: Eukaryota; Metazoa; Chordata; Aves; Passeriformes; Passerellidae
Exons: 5
Source: RefSeq, a predicted model, not a curated record